UCGAAAGCCUGUCCCAGUUCGGACUGGAGUCUGCAACCCGACUCCACGAAGUUGGAUUCGCUAGUAAUCGCGCAUCAGCCAUGGCGCGGUGAAUACGUUCCCGGGUCUUGUACACACCGCCCGUCAAGCCAUGGGAGCCGGGGGCGCCUGAAGUCCGGGACCGCAAGGACCGGCCUAGGGCGAAACUGGUAACUGGGGCUAAGUCGUAACAAGGUAGC
Molecule: ribosomal RNA, 218 nt
Filed under: uncultured bacterium
Lineage: Bacteria
Description: partial 16S ribosomal RNA
Rfam family: Bacterial small subunit ribosomal RNA
Source: RNAcentral